AUUGAACGCUGGCGGCAGGCCUAACACAUGCAAGUCGAACGGUAACAGGAAGAAGCUUGCUUCUUUGCUGACGAGUGGCGGACGGGUGAGUAAUGUCUGGGAAACUGCCUGAUGGAGGGGGAUAACUACUGGAAACGGUAGCUAAUACCGCAUAACGUCGCAAGACCAAAGAGGGGGACCUUCGGGCCUCUUGCCAUCGGAUGUACCCAGAUGGGAUUAGCUAGUAGGUGGGGUAACGGCUCACCUAGGCGACGAUCCCUAGCUGGUCUGAGAGGAUGACCAGCCACACUGGAACUGAGACACGGUCCAGACUCCUACGGGAGGCAGCAGUGGGGAAUAUUGCACAAUGGGCGCAAGCCUGAUGCAGCCAUGCCGCGUGUAUGAAGAAGGCCUUCGGGUUGUAAAGUACUUUCAGCGGGGAGGAAGGGAGUAAAGUUAAUACCUUUACUCAUUGACGUUACCCGCAGAAGAAGCACCGGCUAACUCCGUG
Molecule: ribosomal RNA, 490 nt
Filed under: uncultured bacterium
Lineage: Bacteria
Description: partial 16S ribosomal RNA
Rfam family: Bacterial small subunit ribosomal RNA
Source: RNAcentral